GUUGGCUUGGAAGCAGCCAUUCAUUCAAAGAGUGCGUAACAGCUCACUGGUCGAGCGGGCCUGCGUGGAUAAUAAUCGGGCAUAAGCCCGGUACCGAAGCCGUGGUGCGGCGCUGAAUGGCGCCGCAGGUAGGGGAGCAUUCCGGUCAGCUGCGAAGCCGUCCCGCGAGAGGCGGUGGAGCGUCCGGAAAAGCAAAUGUAGGCAUGAGUAACGACAAUGGGGGCGGGAAACCCCCACGCCGGAAGGCCAAGGAUUCCUGAUCAACGCUAAUCGGAUCAGGGUCAGUCGGGACCUAAGGGGGAGCCGCGAGGCGUACCCGAUGGAAGAAACGGUCAACAUUCCGUUACUGCGGCGCGGAGCGACGCGGGGACGGGGCAGUGACACGGCUGCGGGCUGACGGAAUAGCCCGUUGAAGGGUGUAGGUAAACGCCGGGCAGGCAAAUCCGUCCGGAGUGCCGAACCUGACAGUACCGCGAGCCUCCGGGCGAGCGGAGAACGCCGGUAACCACGCCUCCAAGAAAAACCGCUAAGCGUAUGCGCGCCGUACCCGUACCGAAACGGACACACGUGGCCGGGUAGAGGAUACCGAGGCGCUCGGGAUAUCCACCGUUAAGGAACUAGGCAAACUGACCCCGUAACUUCGGGAGAAGGGGUCCCCGCUUAAUGCGGGGCGCAGCGAAACGGUCCAGGCAACUGUUUAACAAAAACACAGGGCUGUGCGAAAUUUAAAGAUGAGGCAUACAGCCUGACACCUGCCCGGUGCCGGAAGGUUAAGAGGAGGGGUCACCGCAAGGGAAGCCCCGAAUUGAAGCCCCGGUAAACGGCGGCCGUAACUAUAACGGUCCUAAGGUAGCGAAAUUCCUUGUCGGGUAAGUUCCGACCUGCACGAAUGGUGUAAUGAUCUGGACGCUGUCUCAACGGUGGGCCCGGUGAAAUUGUAGUAUCGGUGAAGAUGCCGAUUACCCGCAACGGGACGGAAAGACCCCGUGAACCUUUACUGCAGCUUAGCAUUGUGACCGGGCCUGUGAUGUGUAGGAUAGUCCGGAGGCUAUGAUGCGGCGGCGCCAGCCGUCGCGGAGCCGACGUUGAAAUACGGGCCUUUGCAUGUCUGGUCACUAACGCGUUAUGAACGCGGACAGUGCUUGGCGGGUAGUUUGACUGGGGUGGUCGCCUCCAAAAGCGUAACGGAGGCUUCCAAAGGUCCCCUCGGGCCGAUUGGUAACCGGCCUGUGAGUGUAAUGGCAAAAGGGGGCUUGACUGGGAGGCCGACAAGCCGAACAGGCAGGAAACUGGGGCAUAGUGAUCCGGCGGUGCGGAAUGGAACGGCCGUCGCUCAAAGGAUAAAAGGUACUCCGGGGAUAACAGGCUGAUCCCUCCCAAGAGCUCAUAUCGACGGAGUGGUUUGGCACCUCGAUGUCGGCUCGUCACAUCCUGGGGCUGGAGAAGGUCCCAAGGGUUCGGCUGUUCGCCGAUUAAAGUGGCACGCGAGCUGGGUUCAGAACGUCGUGAGACAGUUCGGUCCCUAUCUGUUGUGGGCGUUGGAGAUUUGCGGGGAGCCGGCACUAGUACGAGAGGACCGUGCCGGACAGACCUCCGGUGAGCCGGUUGUACCGCCAGGUGCACGGCCGGGUAGCCGCGUCUGGUAAGGAUAAGCGCUGAAAGCAUCUAAGCGCGAAGCCCGCCCCAAGAUUAGAUCUCCGUGAGGGCCGUCGGAGACGACGACGUCGAUAGGCCGCAGGUGCAAAGUCAGCGAUGGCAAAGCCGAGCGGUACUAAUAGCCCGAUAGCUUUCCGGG
This 1795-nucleotide ribosomal RNA is filed under the name human gut metagenome. RNAcentral's name for it is "bacterial LSU rRNA". It matches the Rfam family "Bacterial large subunit ribosomal RNA", at positions 1100 to 2925 of the family's 2925-position model. The record is from RNAcentral.